AACGAACGCUGGCGGCAGGCUUAACACAUGCAAGUCGAACGCCCCGCAAGGGGAGUGGCAGACGGGUGAGUAACGCGUGGGAAUCUACCCUGAUCUGCGGGAUAGCUCCGGGAAACUGGAAUUAAUACCGCAUAUGUCCUGAGGGACAAAGAUUGAUCGGUUCAGGAUGAGCCCGCGUCCGAUUAGCUAGUUGGUGGGGUAAAGGCCUACCAAGGCGACGAUCGGUAGCUGGUCUAAGAGGAUGAUCAGCCACAUUGGGACUGAGACACGGCCCAAACUCCUACGGGAGGCAGCAGUGGGGAAUAUUGGACAAUGGGCGCAAGCCUGAUCCAGCCAUGCCGCGUGAGUGAUGAAGGUCUUAGGACUGUAAAGCUCUUUCACCGGGGACGAUAAUGACGGUACCCGGAGAAGAAGCCCCGGCUAACUUCGUGCCAGCAGCCGCAGUAA
This 447-nucleotide ribosomal RNA is filed under the name uncultured bacterium. RNAcentral's name for it is "partial 16S ribosomal RNA". It matches the Rfam family "Bacterial small subunit ribosomal RNA", at positions 29 to 523 of the family's 1533-position model. The record is from RNAcentral.